UUUCCAUCCUCACAAGCCAAGUAUUGAGACCAAAAAAAGAGAUAUCGAGAAAGAACCAUCCAGAAUGAAUCAGUGUUUUGGGGCAAGGCAGGCAGCUGCUCCAGGGUCAGCCUAUCAAUGUCCCCAGUAACUGACAAGAGCAGGCACAAGGAGCAGGUGCAGUUCAGCUCCCCAGGUCUCCUUUCUUCUAAGCCCCUUCUCCUCAUCUCCUGUGCUGGCCUCCUCUGCCCCUCCAGCCUUUUAAUCCUGACUCUCUUACACUUGGCUUCCCACCAAACUCACUGUGGCCUUGACUUUCUGCUUGCACUAGCUGGCUCAAUCCAUAAAGGAAAUAAGAAAGCAA
This 343-nucleotide long non-coding RNA is filed under the name Homo sapiens (human). RNAcentral's name for it is "long non-coding RNA NONHSAT175937". Lineage: Eukaryota; Metazoa; Chordata; Mammalia; Primates; Hominidae. The record is from RNAcentral.